RNAcentral lists this ribosomal RNA (1272 nucleotides) under uncultured bacterium. RNAcentral's name for it is "bacterial SSU rRNA". It matches the Rfam family "Bacterial small subunit ribosomal RNA", at positions 197 to 1471 of the family's 1533-position model. The record is from RNAcentral.
CCUAUAAAAGUGUGUGCUUUCGCUUACACAUACAGAGUGGACUGCGCCAUAGCUAGUGUAGUAAUCGCUCACCCAAGCACGAUGCGUAGCGACCUUGAGAAGGGGUGAUCGCCACAUGGACUGAGAACACGCCCAGACUCCUACGGGAGGCAGCAGUAGGGAAUCUCCGCCAAUGACGAAAGUCGACGAGCAACGCCGCUGAGUGAUGAAGUUUCGAUCGUAAGCUCUGUGUUAGGGAAGAACAAGUGCCGUCAAAUAGGGCGGCACCUUGACGGUACCUAACCAGAAAGCCACGGCUAACUACGUGCCAGCAGCCGCGGUAAUACGUAGGUGGCAAGCGUUGUCCGGGAAUUAUUGGGCGUAAAGGGCUCGCAGGCGGUUUCUUAAGUCUGAUGUGAAAGCCCCCGGCUCAACCGGGGAGGGUCAUUGGAAACUGGGGAACUUGAGUGCAGAAGAGGAGAGUGGAAUUCCACGUGUAGCGGUGAAAUGCGUAGAGAUGUGGAGGAACACCAGUGGCGAAGGCGACUCUCUGGUCUGUAACUGACGCUGAGGAGCGAAAGCGUGGGGAGCGAACAGGAUUAGAUACCCUGGUAGUCCACGCCGUAAACGAUGAGUGCUAAGUGUUAGGGGGUUUCCGCCCCUUAGUGCUGCAGCUAACGCAUUAAGCACUCCGCCUGGGGAGUACGGUCGCAAGACUGAAACUCAAAGGAAUUGACGGGGGCCCGCACAAGCGGUGGAGCAUGUGGUUUAAUUCGAAGCAACGCGAAGAACCUUACCAGGUCUUGACAUCCUCUGACACCCCUAGAGAUAGGGCUUCCCCUUCGGGGGCAGAGUGACAGGUGGUGCAUGGUUGUCGUCAGCUCGUGUCGUGAGAUGUUGGGUUAAGUCCCGCAACGAGCGCAACCCUUGAUCUUAGUUGCCAGCAUUCAGUUGGGCACUCUAAGGUGACUGCCGGUGACAAACCGGAGGAAGGUGGGGAUGACGUCAAAUCAUCAUGCCCCUUAUGACCUGGGCUACACACGUGCUACAAUGGACAGAACAAAGGGCAGCGAGACCGCGAGGUUAAGCCAAUCCCACAAAUCUGUUCUCAGUUCGGAUCGCAGUCUGCAACUCGACUGCGUGAAGCUGGAAUCGCUAGUAAUCGCGGAUCAGCAUGCCGCGGUGAAUACGUUCCCGGGCCUUGUACACACCGCCCGUCACACCACGAGAGUUUGUAACACCCGAAGUCGGUGAGGUAACCUUUAUGGAGCCAGCCGCCGAAGGUGGACAAAG